UGGGUUAUGGUCUAAUGGCAUGACGGGAUUUUUUGGAGGUCCACGAUACUUGUUCGAUUCAAGUUAACCCAA
This 72-nucleotide transfer RNA is filed under the name Rhodotorula mucilaginosa. RNAcentral describes it as "tRNA-Gln". It matches the Rfam family "tRNA". Rfam says of the family: Transfer RNA (tRNA) molecules are approximately 80 nucleotides in length. Their secondary structure includes four short double-helical elements and three loops (D, anti-codon, and T loops). RNAcentral also lists the same sequence under 3 other names. Lineage: Eukaryota; Fungi; Basidiomycota; Microbotryomycetes; Sporidiobolales; Sporidiobolaceae. The record is from RNAcentral.